Molecule: ribosomal RNA, 175 nt
Filed under: uncultured bacterium
Lineage: Bacteria
Description: partial 16S ribosomal RNA
Rfam family: Bacterial small subunit ribosomal RNA
Source: RNAcentral
AGUUGGAAUCGCUAGUAAUCGCGGAUCAGCAUGCCGCGGUGAAUACGUUCCCGGGCCUUGUACACACCGCCCGUCACACCAUGAGAGUCGGAACACCCGAAGUCCGUAGCCUAACCGCAAGGGGGCGCGGCCGAAGGUGGGUUCGAUAAUUGGGGUGAAGUCGUAACAAGGUAAC